GCAGCAGCGAUGACGAAGACAGUAGCCUGCCGGGCACAGUCAAGCGAGUCGGGGACAGUGCGAGCCCGAUCGGAAAGAUGGCAGGGGAAGAUCACUUCAGAGCUUCUGGGCUGAAAACAGUAAGCCCGGACGGGUAACACACGUUAUGGUGUUUCGAGUGGCAGGCAUCUUAAGUCUGUCAUGAGGGUGGUACCACGGGUUUAUAGUCUCGUCCCUUUU
Molecule: non-coding RNA, 219 nt
Filed under: Phascolarctobacterium sp.
Lineage: Bacteria; Bacillati; Bacillota; Negativicutes; Acidaminococcales; Acidaminococcaceae
Description: T-box sequence
Rfam family: T-box leader
About the family: Uncharged tRNA acts as the effector for transcription antitermination of genes in the T-box leader family. T-boxes are found upstream of many aminoacyl-tRNA synthetase genes and some amino acid biosynthetic genes usually in Gram-positive bacteria. The anticodon of a specific tRNA base pairs to a specifier sequence within the T-box motif, and the NCCA acceptor tail of the tRNA base pairs to a conserved bulge in the T-box antiterminator hairpin.
Source: RNAcentral